UACGGAAGGCAGCAGUGGGGAAUAUUGCACAAUGGGCGCAAGCCUGAUGCAGCCAUGCCGCGUGUAUGAAGAAGGCCUUCGGGUUGUAAAGUACUUUCAGUCGUGAGGAAGGUGUUAAGGUUAAUAACCUUAGCAAUUGACGUUAGCGACAGAAGAAGCACCGGCUAACUCCGUGCCAGCAGCCGCGGUAAUACGGAGGGUGCGAGCGUUAAUCGGAAUUACUGGGCGUAAAGGGCACGCAGGCGGUUAAUUAAGUUGGAUGUGAAAUCCCCGGGCUUAACCUGGGAAUGGCAUUCAAGACUGGUUAGCUAGAGUCUUGUAGAGGGGGUAGAAUUCCAUGUGUAGCGGUGAAAUGCGUAGAGAUGUGGAGGAAUACCGGUGGGCGAAGGCGGCCCCUGGGACAAAGACUGACGCUCAUGUGCGAAAGCGUGGGGAGCGAAACAGGGAUU
RNAcentral lists this ribosomal RNA (449 nucleotides) under uncultured bacterium. RNAcentral describes it as "bacterial SSU rRNA". It matches the Rfam family "Bacterial small subunit ribosomal RNA", at positions 340 to 779 of the family's 1533-position model. The record is from RNAcentral.